Molecule: unclassified non-coding RNA, 243 nt
Filed under: uncultured fungus
Lineage: Eukaryota; Fungi
Description: partial contains 5.8S ribosomal RNA, internal transcribed spacer 2, and large subunit ribosomal RNA
Source: RNAcentral
AACGCACAUUGCGCCCCUUGGUAUUCCGGGGGGCAUGCCUGUUCGAGCGUCAUUUCAACCCUCAAGCUCUGCUUGGUCUUGGGCACUGCCGGUAACGGCUUGCCUUAAAACUAGUGGCGGUGCCAUUCGAGCUCUACGCGUAGUAAUUAAACCCUCGCGAUUGAGUCUUGGUGGAUGCUUGCCAGCAACCCUCAAUUUUUUAUGGUUGACCUCGGAUCAGGUAGGGAUACCCGCUGAACUUAA